CCUACGGGUUGCACCAGUGGGGAAUAUUGCACAAUGGACGCAAGCCUGAUGCAGCCAUGCCGCGUGUAUGAAGAAGGCCUUCGGGUUGUAAGUACUUUCAGCGGGGAGGAAGGUGUUGUGGUUAAUAACCACAGCAAUUGACGUUACCCGCAGAAGAAGCACCGGCUAACUCCGUGCCAGCAGCCGCGGUCAUACGGAGGGUGCAAGCGUUAAUCGGAAUUACUGGGCGUAAAGCGCACGCAGGCGGUCUGUCAAGUCGGAUGUGAAAUCCCCGGGCUCAACCUGGGAACUGCAUUCGAAACUGGCAGGCUAGAGUCUUGUAGAGGGGGGUAGAAUUCCAGGUGUAGCGGUGGAAUGCGUAGAGAUCUGGAGGAAUACCGGUGGCGAAGGCGGCCCCCUGGACAAAGACUGACGCUCAGGUGCGAAAGCGCGGGGAGCAAACAGGAUUAGAUACCCCAGUAGUC
RNAcentral lists this ribosomal RNA (464 nucleotides) under uncultured bacterium. RNAcentral describes it as "bacterial SSU rRNA". It matches the Rfam family "Bacterial small subunit ribosomal RNA", at positions 338 to 795 of the family's 1533-position model. The record is from RNAcentral.